CAAACUAUAUGAACCACGACUUAUCUUGAAAUUUUUCAUUAAAUGGACGCUGAAUAAUUUCAAGACGCGAAUGUUGGAAGUUAAUUGCUCUACAAUGGGUCAUUCAAGUUACAUCUAUAGGUAAUAGCGUAUGCGAUGGAUGAAAAAACUAUUUUAAAAAAUGACCAAGUAGUUUUCACCGUGCUGUAUUCAUUUUUGCUUUCAUAAUCGGUAGUGAAUCUAGAACGCCAUUUGAACGGGGAAAAUUUAAGUAAUUUUUUGUGAAGUAUUCAUUUUCUUUAAUGAUGAAAAAAAUGAAUACUUAACAAAAAAUUACUUCAAACUUUCCCGUUCAAUAUAACUUUCUUAUUUGUAUUAUCUGGUGUACGGGUUUGUCGAAUAUGUAUGUUUCGCAAUCUGAAACCUUGUCAUCUAUAGAUCAGCAGAAAGCUUGAAUAGGCGUGCUGUUUCACGACUAUAGCCAUGCUAAGAUUGAAGAUUUUGAAGAUAUGUACCAUACAUUGGCUCGUGUUUCGGAGAUUCCAACGUAAAAACGCUUUACUCGUAUUUUGAAACGACCUCAAACGUAUUGAAAUAAACAGAAGAGUUCGUGAGAUGAAAUGGCUGAUUUUCAAGAAUAAACAUCAACAGCUCCAGAGGCGGAGAACAUGAAUCAACUCGUCGAUUAAUACCACCACGCGAUAUAGGUUAUCUAUAGACUUUGACGAACUUUGAGCAAAGACCAAAGAAUCGAGAUCUAGAUUGCUAAAACCGAGGAAAAAAAAAAGGUAAUUACGAAUUUGGCGGUUUA
Molecule: long non-coding RNA, 790 nt
Organism: Planococcus citri (citrus mealybug)
Lineage: Eukaryota; Metazoa; Arthropoda; Insecta; Hemiptera; Pseudococcidae
Exons: 2
Source: RefSeq, a predicted model, not a curated record